This 377-nucleotide ribosomal RNA is filed under the name uncultured bacterium. RNAcentral's name for it is "bacterial SSU rRNA". It matches the Rfam family "Bacterial small subunit ribosomal RNA", at positions 521 to 896 of the family's 1533-position model. The record is from RNAcentral.
UAAUACGGAGGGUGCGAGCGUUGUCCGGAAUCACUGGGCGUAAAGGGCGCGUAGGUGGCCCCUUAAGUGUGUGGUGAAAGCCCGGGGCUCAACCCCGGGUCGGCCAUGCAAACUGGGGGGCUUGAGCAUUGUAGAGGCAGGCGGAAUUCCGGGUGUAGCGGUGGAAUGCGUAGAGAUCCGGAAGAACACCGGUGGCGAAGGCGGCCUGCUGGGCAAUAGCUGACACUGAGGCGCGACAGCGUGGGGAGCAAACAGGAUUAGAUACCCUGGUAGUCCACGCCGUAAACGAUGGGCACUAGGUGCCUGGGGGAGCGACCCCCUGGGCGCCGUCGCUAACGCAUUAAGUGCCCCGCCUGGGGAGUACGACCGCAAGGUUG